CAUCAACCAUGUCGAACAAUAACGACAACAUUCAAGGAAAUGAAGGAAACCAACAACUUCAGGAAAAUCUACAGGAUAAUCACAUCCCGGUCCCUUCUCUACAAAGCUCUUCUCGACGGUCUCGAGAAGACACCCCUGAUGGAUUUCAUGCACAUGGAAAUGCUCAAUUAACAACUUCAUGGAAAUCUACAGGAUAAUCACACCCCCGGUACUUUCUUCACAAAGUUCUCCUCGGGAGGGCACUCCUGAUGGAUCUCAUGCGAAUGGAAAUGCUCGAUUUAAAAAUAUUGAAGCUAACGAUGAAACUUUGCAAAAAUUAAUUGUUGCACAUGUGACCUGCUGUACCACUCACACUCCCUCCAAAUCAUAACACUUUGGAGAAUCCUUGUUUUGGUCUUGUUAAUUCAAGAAGUGGUGGAACACCCAGUGAAUCACAAGAAGGAAUACCAUGUAAUUUAGCCAAUUCAGAUUUGUAAAAUUUAGUACUAACAUUGCAGAAACAGCUCAAGGAGCAAAGUGACCGCAUAGAGCAAAUACCUAGGGUAUCGCCUGUAAUAAAAGAGAUAGAAGCGGAUAAAUAUUCACAACAACCCUGAAAGUCAAAUGAUCCCCUCCCUAUUCCAAAGAAAUUCAAAAUGCCUGAUAUUCCAACAACAACCCUGAAAGUAAAAUGAUCCUCUCCCUAUUCCAAAGAAAUUCAAAAUGCCUGAUAUUCCAAAAUACUAUGGAACAACUGAUCCACGAAACUAUGUGACUGUGUUCACAACAGGCGUCAAAGGCAAUUCUUGACCAAAUAGGAAAUUGAAUCAGUAUUGGUCAAGAAAUUUGGUGAAACACUCACCAAGGUUGCAUUAACGUCCCUGCCUACUUCGCUCGGCUCGGCGCUAAACUUGCACUCCAGGUAUUCUGUCUUAGAUAUGCU
RNAcentral lists this long non-coding RNA (922 nucleotides) under Nicotiana benthamiana. Its description in RNAcentral is "long non-coding RNA (NBEN_LNC033397)". Lineage: Eukaryota; Viridiplantae; Streptophyta; Magnoliopsida; Solanales; Solanaceae. The record is from RNAcentral.